Eucalyptus grandis is the source of this 119-nucleotide non-coding RNA. The record is from Rfam. NCBI's taxonomy places the organism in Eukaryota, Viridiplantae, Streptophyta, Magnoliopsida, Myrtales, Myrtaceae.
GGGAGAAGUAGACAUGGCGUGAUAUUGGUCCGGCUCAUCUUUCUGCGUUUCAUGCUUACUAUGAGCUAUGUAAUAUCUUCAAGACGAGCCGAAUCAAUAUCACUCUUGUAUGCUUCUUU